AGAAGCUCGGAUGUCGCGGGAGGCGGACCCCAGCUGUCUGAUUCCCGCGAGGCCCUAGGAGACUUAGGUCUCGGCCUGAGGCUAGGGCGUUAAGCUUCUUAUCAAACGUCUGCAAAAUGGGCGGGAGGCUGCAGCUAUUACUUGCCAGGGUGGUUCUGUAAUCAAAUACAGUGAAAAUAACGCCUGCAAGCAGUGGCUCAAAGAGACCCCUGACACCUUGUUGAACAUCCUUCAGAAUGCUGAUCUCAGCCUGGCGUUUCAGACCUACACACUUUAUAGAAUGAAAAAUGUCGGCUGUUUAUUGUCAUGGAAUAUUGUGAUGGAGGGGAUCUCAUGAGAAGGAUCAGCAGACAGUGGGGAGUGUUACUUAGUGAAGAUCAGGUAAAAUCGUUUCUAAUUUGCCGUUUAAUCUAUAUGUGGAGAGGAAGGAUUACAUUUAAAAUGUCAUAAGUUUGUAUGAAACAUGAACGAGUGGAUCAAUAUUCUUGGUAAAUUCAGGAGCUUGGCAGCCGCGGCGUCUGACCCGAGUCCUCGGCGCGGAGCGAGUGGCGGCGGCGUGGGCCUGGCGCCCAGCAGCUGGCGGACAGGUUCUGUGAAUGAACUGGGGGAAUGACAAACACCAGCAGAUUUGUACCCUGCAUGCGCUUGAUGAGAUUUGAGAUGACAACCUGCAACUGCCAAGGCAAGGACUUUUAAAAUUUGUUUUAACUUUUAAAAAAGUUUCAAAAAAGAUUUAUUUAUUUGAAAGGCAGUGUUAUAGAGAGAGGGACACACACACACACACACACACACACACACUUACUAUUUUCCAUUUGCUGGUUCACUCUCCGAAUAGCCACAAUGGCCAGGGCUGUUUCAGGUUGAAACCAGGAGCUUUAUCCCAGCCUCCCACAUAGAUGGCAGGGACUCAGGCACCUGGGCCAUCAUCUUCUGCUUUCCAAGACACAUUAGCAGGGAACUGGAUAAGAAAUAGAGUGGCAGGGAGUUCAACUGGCAUCCAUAUAGGAUGCUGGUGUUUCAGGCAGUAGCUUAACCCACUAUGCCAUAAUGCUGGCCCUUAGACAGACUUUAAUCAGUUAUUUUAAAUGAGUGCAAAGAACAAAAAGAAAGGAUAUCUAAAGUGUUAAGGAAUAGUGUGAGUGUGGGAGACCUAGAAGAAGCUCUUGGCUCCUGGCUUUUGGAUCAGUCCAGUUCCAUUCGUUGCGGCCAUUUAGGGAGUGAACCAAUGGAUGGAAGACCUCUCUCUAUAUAUCACUGCCUCUCCCUCUUUUUGUCUGUAACUCUGCCUCUCAAAUAAAUAAAUAAGUCUUUUUAAAAAAAAGAAUAGUGUGAGAACAAUGUCUCUUCAUAUAGUGAGUGUUUUUUUUAAAAGAUUUAUUUAUUUGAAAGGCAGAGUUACAGAGAUGCAGAGGCAGGUUCACAUUUUAAAUAUAAGUAUAUGGGACAUUUUGAAUGACUGUUUAAGUUAUAAGGUGUGUGUCAAGUUUCAAGGUUUUCUAAAUACAUAUAUUUUUAAAAAUAUUUAUUUAUUUGAAAGUCAGAGUUACAGAGAAGGAGAGGCAGAGAGAGAGAGGUCUUCCAUCUGCUGAUUCACUCCCCAAUUGGCUGUGCCAAUCCGAAGCCAGGGGCCAGGAGCUUCUUCCAGGUCUUCCACAUGAGUGCAGGGGCCCAAGGACUUGAGCCAACUUCUUUUUUUAAAAGAUUUAUUUUAUUUAUUUGAAAGACAGAGUUACAGAGAGAGGUAGAGACACAGAGAGAGGUCUUCCAUCCACUGGUUCCCUCCCCAAAUGGCUGCAACGGCCAGAGCUGCGCCAAUCCAAAGCCAGGAGCCAGGAGCUUCUUCCAGGUCUCCCAUGUGGAUGCAGGGGCCCAAAGACUUGGGCCAUCUUCCACUGCUAUCCCAGGCCAUAGCAGAGAGCUGGAUCAGAAGAGGAGCAGCCAGCACUUCAGGCCAGGGCUUUAACCUGUUUCACCAUAGCACUGGCCCCUAUACAUUGAGUAUUAAGAAAGAGAUUGUGGGGAGCAACUGGGAGCAACUUGGACUAGACUAAGUUACUGGAAUUAAGACUUAUUCUAUGCAUCUGCUCUCCCACAAUAUGGCGCUGGGAGAGGAGGAAACAGCUUCUACCCAGCUGCCUCUCACCAACUUGACAAGCUGCAGGACCUGCUCCUGAUUGGAGGAGAGCAGCGUACUCGGCGUGUGGGUAGCAGAGUUGGGAUUGGUGAAGAGGACUAUAAAGGAGGAGAGAGACAACAUGCACCAGGAACAUCUAAGAGGAACACCUGUGCAGCCCCCGAGAGAGCCGGCCGGCGGUGUGCCGCUCCCCCGCGGAAGUGGGGGAAGUGGCUAGGGGGAACCGCCCUUCCACGGAGGUGGAAGGGACGGUAGCCAACCCGGGAAGAACCAGCAGCAAACCCGGGGAGGGCUGAGCAGACAAAAGAACAGCGCAGGGUCCUGUGUUGUUCCUCCACGAAGAGGGAGAGCGACAGAGAUAGAGGGUAGAAAUUAUUAAAAAAAAAAAAAAAAGAACAAGAUAAAACAAGUACAGUUCAAAAAUGUAGUCAGUGUUGUUGUAUACCAUUUAAGGCACUACCUGUAAGGUUGGCAUCCCAUAUGAAUAUUUGUUGAGUCCCAGCUGCUCCAUUUCUGAUCCAGCUUCCCUAAUGGAGGUCUUGGGAAAGUAAUAGAAGAUGGUGCAAGUAUUUGUGACCCUACCACUCAGGCGGGGGACUCACAUGGAUUUCCAGGCUCCUGGCUUUGGCCUGGCCCAGCCCUGACUAUUGUGCCCAUUAGGGGAGUGAACUAGCAGUUGGAAGAUUUCUCUAUGUAACUGCCUUUCAAAUAAAUGAUUAGCUCUUUAAUAAAAAAUCCCCACAUUACCUGAAAUUAAAAUUUACAUAUUUAUAGCAUACACUUAUAGCACAUUUAAAAUAUGUUGUUGAUAUAUACAUAUCAUAUUUGAGUAGACAGAAGAAAGAAUUAUCUUACUUGAAAAUAAGUCAAUUGAUAUUUAGGCUGAGGAACAGAAAGAUAAAAGAAAGCAAACAAAGGAACAUAACUUCAGAGACUUGUGGAACACCAUCAAACACAUCAACAUGUACAUAAUGGUGGUACCAGGAGAAGAGGAAAGAGAGAAAGAGGCAAAACAAAUGAAGAAAUAGGGGAUGGAGCUGUGGUAUAGCAGGUUAAGCCACCAUCUGCAGUGCCAGCAUCCCAUAUAGGCACCAGUUUGAGUCCUGGUUGCUCCACUUGCAAUCCAGCUCCCUGCUAAUAGCCUGAGCAGAGGAUGGCUCAGGUCCUUGUGCCGCUGAACCCACAUGAGAGACCCAGAAGCAGCUUCUGGCUCCUGGCUUUGGCUUGGUCCAGUUCUGGUCAUUGCACCCAUUUGUGGAAUAAACCAGUGGAUGGAAGAUAUUCUCUCUCUCUCUCUCCCUCUCCCUCUCCCUCCCCUCUUCUUCUCUCUCUUUGUAAAUCUGACUUUCAAACAAAUAAAUAAGUCUUCAAAAAAAAAAAA
This is a non-coding RNA of Oryctolagus cuniculus (rabbit), 3515 nucleotides long. The record is from RefSeq and is a predicted model, not a curated record. Lineage: Eukaryota; Metazoa; Chordata; Mammalia; Lagomorpha; Leporidae.